AAAGACUUGACGGUACUUCACAACAACCUAGAGGAGCCUGUCCAAUAACCGAUACCCCACGAUUAACCCGACCUACCCUAGCCUAGCAGUCUAUAUACCGCCGUCGCCAGCUUACCUUGUGAAAGAAAUAAAGUAAGUAAAAUAAGCCACCCCUAACACGACAGGUCAAGGUGUAACUAAUGAGUAGGUAAAAGAUGGGCUACAUUUUCUACUACAGAAUAACACGAAUAAAUUAUGAAACUAAAAACUGAAGGCGGAUUUAGCAGUAUGCUAAGAACAAAAUACUUAACUGAAAUCAACGCAAUGAAGUGCGUACACACCGCCCGUCAUCCCUG
RNAcentral lists this ribosomal RNA (335 nucleotides) under Phalotris reticulatus. RNAcentral's name for it is "partial small subunit ribosomal RNA". Lineage: Eukaryota; Metazoa; Chordata; Lepidosauria; Squamata; Dipsadidae. The record is from RNAcentral.